RNAcentral lists this ribosomal RNA (461 nucleotides) under uncultured bacterium. RNAcentral describes it as "partial 16S ribosomal RNA". It matches the Rfam family "Bacterial small subunit ribosomal RNA", at positions 338 to 795 of the family's 1533-position model. The record is from RNAcentral.
CCUACGGGAGGCAGCAGUGAGGAAUAUUGGUCAAUGUGCGGGAGCCUGAACCAGCCAAGUCGCGUGAGGGAAGACGGUCCUAUGGAUUGUAAACCUCUUUAGGCGGGGAGCAAUGCCGGGCACGCGUGCCCGGAGGGAGAGUACCCGCAGAAUAAGCAUCGGCUAACUCCGUGCCCGCAGCCGCGGUAAUACGGAGGAUGCGAGCGUUAUCCGGAUUUAUUGUGUUUAAAGGGUGCGCAGGCGGGAGCGGCAAGUCAGCGGUAAAAUUGCGGGGCUCAACCUCGCCGAGCCGUUGAAACUGCUCGUCUAGAGUGGGCGAGAAGUAUGCGGAAUGCGUGGUGUAGCGGUGAAAUGCAUAGAUAUCACGCAGAACUCCGAUUGCGAAGGCAGCAUACCGGCGCCCAACUGACGCUCAUGCACGAAAGCGUGGGUAUCGAACAGGAUUAGAUACCCUUGUAGUC